GCCGAAAUAGCUCAGUUGGGAGAGUGUUAGACUGAAGAUCUAAAGGUCCCUGGUUCGAUGCCGUGUUUUCGGCA
This is a non-coding RNA of Pseudophryne corroboree (corroboree frog), 74 nucleotides long. The record is from the annotation of a RefSeq genome assembly. Lineage: Eukaryota; Metazoa; Chordata; Amphibia; Anura; Myobatrachidae.